CCCAGCCAGCACGGAGACUCCCUUCUCUCCUUCCACCUUCCUCUUGCACCCUUCCCCAGUCCUCUUCCCUUACUUCUCUCGAAAGUGAAAAGGGGAAAAGGGAAUUUUUAAAAAGCAGAACAGAGGUUUGGUUUAUAUAUAUAUAUUUUCUUAUUUGGCCAUCCUGUGGCAUAUGGAGUUCCUGGGCCAGGGAUUGAAUCAAAAUCCUAGCCAGAGCUGCUGCAACAACAGAUCCUUAACCCCCUUUGCUGGCCGGGAUUGUACCUGUGUUCCUGCCGCUGUAGAGACACUGUAGAUCCCAGUGCACCACAGGGGGAACUCAUGGGUCCUAUUUUUGUCUGUUUGCUUUUUAAGGCUAUUUGAAGUCUCAGUUUCCAGAAGAGCCAGCAUUCAGUGGGGGUCACGGGGUCAGAAAGCUGUUCUGAUGGUGGGAUCAUGGAGAAUCAGAGAAGACAAUGUGGAUGCUUCCCCAGGCUGCCUCCAGGACCAGUCCCUGGGGACAAGGAGAGAGACAGCAAUCCAGGCAUGGGAGGGUCUGCGAUCAGUCACCCUGUCCAGAGCCCCCAGCCAUGACACCGCUGGAUCAGGGAUCAAACCACUGCAGUCAGAUUCUUAACCACAGUGCCACAGCGGGAACUCCUAAGCAGGUGACUCUGAAUGAAUGCAGCCUAUUCACCCAUGAGCCAUCAGUUCCAGUUCCUUCUGCAUCCUCCCUGUCUCAGAGUGAAGCCCACGUUCCCAGGAGGAAGUUCCGAAGAUGUUCUAGUCCUAACCCUGGACAUGGCCAGGCGCCAGGCCAUCCCAGCACAGGAUGCAGCAGCCAGGUGCCUUAGGGGACACCUGUUCUCCAGGUCUCCAUUGGUAAGAGAAUGGCAGCAAGUCCCACUGCUGUCAAACACAGGGUCACCUGACAGUUAGAGGAGGAUGACAACACAUCUUGCUUUGUGUGAGAAUGAGGAUGGUGAUGGCAGCUCCAAGCCCCUACCUUAGUUCUUGGACAGAAGGAAAGCAUCGUGUGGUGCUCUUUUCUCUCCAAGGGGCAGGAGGACUGCCCUUGGCUCGUCUGAGUUCUUCAUGGUUUAAAAGAAUCACUUCCCCUGAACUUGCAGUGAGAUACAGGCCAGCAGGCAUGGCACAUGAUCCACCACACUGUGGGUCCCAACCAGCAUACCUGGAACAGUUUCCUCAUUUCAACUUGUCAGUAUGAAAUUUUGCAAAAUCAAAAAGGAAGAAGAGAAAAAAAAGAUCAAACCCAUGUAGAACUGCUCCACCCAGAGCUAUUAACCACGCUGCAAUAUCAGUUGGCACUUUACCGUUGUGCAGUUUAAUGUCCUGCAUUAUUCUAUUAACACAUCAUAACAUUUUCCCAUCACAUUAUUGUUUUCAUGUUUGGCUAUAUUAUUGCUUAAUCACAGCUGGUAAUAGACCUUUGUGCAGAGGCCUGGGGGUGGGCUGGACAGGCAGGCUGGAGGUCUCCACUGUGGAGAGCUGGGGGGCCAGGAGAACUGGCACUGAGGGGAUGGAGGAAACGUAGACCAAGAGUCUGUCAGAUAUUUGCCUGUCUGCUCACUUAUUCCUGCCUCGCUAUUGAGGGCUCUGUUAGGCACCAGGCUCCCCUCCCAGUUCUCCUGUCGACACCUGCUGCAGGUGGUCACCAUCACUCCCUCAAAACCUUCCAGCACUCCAGACCCCAUCCAGUGCACCCCACAUCAACUCCAGAGGAAGGGGCUCCAUUGCACCCCAACUGGUAGAGCCAAGCCCAAGACUGGUACUGGUAGGAGCUUGGAAGUGUUUGAAGAUUGAGGGAGUGAGUGAACACAAAUAGUAACAAGA
Molecule: long non-coding RNA, 1833 nt
Filed under: Sus scrofa (pig)
Lineage: Eukaryota; Metazoa; Chordata; Mammalia; Artiodactyla; Suidae
Description: lncRNA (ENSSSCG00060063928.1)
Source: RNAcentral